GUACACUCCUGCGGGAGGCAGCAGUGGGGAAUUUUGGACAAUGGGCGAAAGCCUGAUCCAGCAAUGCCGCGUGAGUGAAGAAGGCCUUCGGGUUGUAAAGCUCUUUUGUCAGGGAAGAAACGGUGAGAGCUAAUAUCUCUUGCUAAUGACGGUACCUGAAGAAUAAGCACCGGCUAACUACGUGCCAGCAGCCGCGGUAAUACGUAGGGUGCAAGCGUUAAUCGGAAUUACUGGGCGUAAAGCGUGCGCAGGCGGUUUUGUAAGUCUGAUGUGAAAUCCCCGGGCUCAACCUGGGAAUUGCAUUGGAGACUGCAAGGCUAGAAUCUGGCAGAGGGGGGUAGAAUUCCACGUGUAGCAGUGAAAUGCGUAGAUAUGUGGAGGAACACCGAUGGCGAAGGCAGCCCCCUGGGUCAAGAUUGACGCUCAUGCACGAAAGCGUGGGGAGCAAACAGGAUUAGAAACCCCAGUAGUCCCAU
RNAcentral lists this ribosomal RNA (476 nucleotides) under uncultured organism. Its description in RNAcentral is "partial 16S ribosomal RNA". It matches the Rfam family "Bacterial small subunit ribosomal RNA", at positions 331 to 798 of the family's 1533-position model. The record is from RNAcentral.